CGCCAGACUCCUACGGGAGGCAGCAGUGGGGGAUAUUGCACAAUGGGGGGAACCCUGAUGCAGCGACGCCGCGUGGGUGAAGGAGCGUUUCGGCGCGUAAAGCCCUAUCGGCAGGGAAGAAGGAGGACGGUACCUGACUAAGAAGCCCCGGCUAACUACGUGCCAGCAGCCGCGGUAAUACGUAGGGGGCAAGCGUUAUCCGGAUUUACUGGGUGUAAAGGGAGCGUAGACGGCAGUGCAAGUCCGGAGUGAAAGCCCGGGGCUCAACCCUGGGACUGCUCUGGAAACUGUAAAGCUGGAGUGCGGGAGGGGCAGGCGGAAUUCCUGGUGUAGCGGUGAAAUGCGUAGAUAUCAGGAGGAACACCGGCGGCGAAGGCGGCCUGCUGGACUGCGACUGACGUUGAGGCCCGAAAGCGUGGGGAGCAAACAGGAUUAGAUACCCUAGUAGGA
Molecule: ribosomal RNA, 450 nt
Filed under: uncultured bacterium
Lineage: Bacteria
Description: partial 16S ribosomal RNA
Rfam family: Bacterial small subunit ribosomal RNA
Source: RNAcentral